UUUGGCACAAUGAGGAGUUAAUUUUGCUAAUGUAUCUAUGAGGUAUUAAGACCUAUGACUCUUAUGUCCUUUUCAUUCUGAGUGCCUU
Molecule: small nucleolar RNA, 88 nt
Filed under: Leersia perrieri
Lineage: Eukaryota; Viridiplantae; Streptophyta; Magnoliopsida; Poales; Poaceae
Description: snoRNA snoZ162
Rfam family: Small nucleolar RNA Z162
About the family: Z162 is a member of the C/D class of snoRNA which contain the C (UGAUGA) and D (CUGA) box motifs. Most of the members of the box C/D family function in directing site-specific 2'-O-methylation of substrate RNAs.
Source: Rfam by way of RNAcentral